UCGCAAAGAUUAACUUCAACAAAUAGCUCAAACAAUAAACGUGUAAAUUCCGGGACCAAAAAGCUGUACUCACAGUGCGCAUCACAUACAGGUAAAAGGGCAAAAUGGCAUACAGGUAAAAGGGCAAAAUGGCAAUUCUUCCAGAUUCAUCCUUUUCAAACUUCAUGAAAUUAGAUGGGCUGAAAAAGCGCCGACAUUUGGGGCCUAUUUGCUCUGUACAUACUGAGGCUAUGUGACAAAAAUCUUCAUAAUUCAUCUACAACAUGAUAAUCCCAAAGAUAAAUUAGGUUAAAGUGAUAAAAAUAUUAGGCCAUGGAACAAAACAUUGUGGAAUAAAUCUAGCUUAACAAAUGCAUCUACCAAAAACAAAUACCAAGACAUCACGUUAUAAGCAACGCUUAGCAUAACUUCCCAGUAUCUGAUAAUGUUAAGCUAGGACAUUCUUAAAUGAAAACAAAUGCAGAUUUAGUAACUGAAAUAUAGAAUCCUGCCAAACAUAUUAACAACAUAUGGUGUAAUGCCGAAACAGAUUGGCAAAGCAAAUCUUCCAAACCU
This 555-nucleotide long non-coding RNA is filed under the name Populus trichocarpa (black cottonwood). RNAcentral's name for it is "long non-coding RNA (PTRI_LNC002222)". The record is from RNAcentral. Lineage: Eukaryota; Viridiplantae; Streptophyta; Magnoliopsida; Malpighiales; Salicaceae.